AUCUGGUUCCAGUGUGCCUGGCAUGGUGCUUCAGAAUGUCAGACUACCCGCCGGACAUGCUGGAACCACAUUCUGGCCAUGCCUGAACCACCUGCUGGACACCCUGAACCACCUGCCAGAUACGCGUGAACCACUUGAUGGAAACUCCAGAACCACAUGCUGGGCACGCCGGAACCACUUGUCAAGUACACCAGAAUCAGGUGCCGGACAAGCUGCAACCACCUGCUUGACUUGCCGGAACCACUGCUGGACAUGCCAAAAUCACCUGCCAGAAACGCUGGAAACAGGCAGCUUAUAUGCUGGAAAACCCCGCCAGACAUGCAUGAACCACCGGCCGGACACACUGGAACCACCACUCAGACACACUGGAACCACCUGCCAGACAUGCCAGAACCAACUGCCGGACGUGCCGGAAGCACCCACCAGACACACCGGAACCACCUUCUGAACGUACCAGAACCACAUGCCAGUCACACAGGAACCACCUGCCAGACACACCGGAACCAUCUGAGGGAAGUGGCAGAGUCACCCACUGGACAUGACAGAGCCACCUUCUGGACGUGCCGGAACCACCUCACUGACACGCCGGAACCACCUGCCAGACACUUUGGAACCACCUGUUGGAUAUGCCGCAACCAGGCACCCAGUACGCUGAAGCCACCUGCCGAAUAUCCCAGAACCAUGUGCCAGCCACGCUGGAAUCAUGUGAUGGAUACACCAGAAACAGGUACAGCAGAGGCCAGAACCAGGUGCCCGAAAUGCCAGAACCACCUGCUUGACACACCUGAACCACCUGUCAGUCUUGUGAGAACCACUUGACGGAUACACCAGAUGCAGGUGUCACACAUGCCAAAACCAGGUUCCAGACACAUCUGAACCACCUGCCAGUCUUGUGAGUACCACCUGCCAGAUACACCAGACACAGGUGUCGCACAUGCCAAAACCAGGUGCUGACAUGACGGAACCACCUGCAAAACAUGCCAGAACCAGGUGCUGGACAAGCUGGAACCACCUGCCGGACACGUUGAAAUCCCCUGCCGGAUACACCGGAACCACAUGUCACAUGUGCUGGAAUCGCCUACCAGACAUGCCGGGACCACCUGUUGGAUACGCCGGAACCAGGUGCCUGAUUCACUGAAACUACAUGCUGGACACGCCAGAAUCAGGUGUUGGACAUGCAUGGAAAACACACAGGAUAUGUCGAAAUCACCUGCAUGAUAUCCCAUAACAAUGUGCCAGAAAAUAAAGUACCUAGGAUGUGUGAAAUCCUAUUGAGGCAUAUUCAUAUAAUGCAUUUAUUAUCAUCUUUCUCGCUUUUUCUGUUUUAUUGUUAUUAUCAUUUUUUUUUUAGGAAGAUUAGCCCUGACUAACAUCUACCACCAAUCCUCCUCUUUUUGCUGAGGAAGACUGGCCCUGAGCUAGCAUCCAUGCCCAUCUUCCUCUACUUUAUAUGUGGGACUCCUGCCACAGCAUGGCUUGAUGAGUGGUGCGUAGGUCUGCACCCAGGAUCUGAACCGGCAAACUCCAGGCCACUGAAGGAGAACAUGCAAACCUAACCACUGUGCCACCAGGCCAGCCCCAAGCUUUCUGUUUUUUUAAAGCAAUUUCAAUUCUUGCUUUUGUUUCACCAGCAGUGGUAUCAUCAUCUUGGACAGUUCCUCCAGAGUCACAGUAUCUAGAAUUUGGAACAUUUUUGUUGCUUGUUUGGAUAAGUGAUGUCAGAAUGUCUAGUAAAUCUUCCCUAGGAGAACUGUCUAAAAGACAUCUCAAUUUAGCAACUGCAGGGACAUGUAUAUUCAACAUUUCAAUCAAUAGUAGUUCAUUUUUGUAGAACUCUUCUGAUAAUUCUCC
Long non-coding RNA from Equus caballus (horse), 1851 nucleotides. The record is from Ensembl. Lineage: Eukaryota; Metazoa; Chordata; Mammalia; Perissodactyla; Equidae.